Molecule: ribosomal RNA, 253 nt
Filed under: uncultured bacterium
Lineage: Bacteria
Description: partial 16S ribosomal RNA
Rfam family: Bacterial small subunit ribosomal RNA
Source: RNAcentral
UACGUAGGGUGCAAGCGUUGUCCGGAAUUAUUGGGCGUAAAGAGCUUGUAGGCGGUUUGUCGCGUCUGCUGUGAAAUUUCGGGGCUCAACCCCGAACUUGCAGUGGGUACGGGCAGACUAGAGUGUGGUAGGGGAGACUGGAAUUCCUGGUGUAGCAGUGAAAUGCGCAGAUAUCAGGAGGAACACCGAUGGCGAAGGCAGGUCUCUGGGCCAUAACUGACGCUGAGAAGCGAAAGCAUGGGGAGCGAACAGG